GUGGCGAGCCUUGGGUCCAGGUCCGUGGCGGCGCUGGUGGGAGGUGGGGUGGGCCCUGGGCUUUGGGUCCGAAAGCGACCGCGCGCGGCCCGGGCCCACGGAUGACGGUCCUGGCGGAGCCGCCAGCGUUUGCCGUAAACUCCCGAGAGCUCCGAGCGCAGCGCCCUGUCCCUGGGGCCCGGGGCCGGGGCCGGGCUCGGGCGGCACCCCCAGGCACGGCCCUCUGCAGGCCUCUGCCCAUUUGCCCGACGCGGCCGGCUCCGGCCCGGGGACCCGCACUGGAAGGCCAAACCCCCGCCGCAGCUGCGCUUGCUCCGCCCCACUCCGCGCGUGGCCGGGACCCUGAUGCCCGGCGGCUACCCUAGUGGACGAAACGAGGCUCGGUGCGUUCGACUGGGAAACGCUGGCCUCCCCCAGACGGAUCGCGGGCCCUCCUCCGCCCACGUGCCGGAGGGGCCGCGCUCGGCGCUGGGCACGGGUGGGGGGCGGGAAGCGUGGGUUUGGUCGUGCGGUUGGAAGAUGAUGUGCUGCACGGCCGGGAACACCGAACCCCCCGCAGCCCCGCGGUAACGCAGAGGGGCGCCGGCCUGACAGCACCGCGGGGCACUCGGUGUUCCUGGGUCGUUCUCUAACCAGACCGGCUUCCACACUGCGUUAGCACCCCGUCACUCACGGGCUUUCAUCUCGGGCAAGGCGCAGCGCGGCUCUUCUACCUCACCUGCCCUACCCAAAGUACCCACCUCCCAGCGUGAGGGUUUAACGAAACACGGGUUCGGUACGUCUAGACCCGCCCGCACCUGAUGAAGUUCUUCUUCCCAUUCUGAGAUCGCCCCGAUGUUGGGAACUUCGGAGAAUUCUGGACUCUUUGGCAUGGCCUUGAAGUCACUGUGCCACUGAAUACACAACCCAAGUGUCACAGGCUGACUUGGCUAGUGAGCUGCAAACACCCUUGUCACGGGAUAGUGAAGCCCCAAAGCAGGGAAAAGCACACUGCCGCCAGCCCCCAGAACCCUAUGAACUGAAGGGGGGAUGGGAUGAGCAACGGAGGUUUGGAAAUCAAAGAAAGGACCAGAGCCACAGGAUCCUGGUCUGUCGGUCUUCCACCACUCCCGGUUCUGAAAUCACUGCAUGCUUUAUGGGUAUAAUAAAGAAUUUGCAAAUUCCA
Molecule: long non-coding RNA, 1165 nt
Organism: Mustela erminea (ermine)
Lineage: Eukaryota; Metazoa; Chordata; Mammalia; Carnivora; Mustelidae
Exons: 2
Source: RefSeq, a predicted model, not a curated record